RNAcentral lists this ribosomal RNA (298 nucleotides) under uncultured eukaryote. RNAcentral describes it as "partial 18S ribosomal RNA". It matches the Rfam family "Eukaryotic small subunit ribosomal RNA", at positions 1470 to 1796 of the family's 1831-position model. The record is from RNAcentral.
CCCUUAGACACUCUAGGCGGCACGCGCGCUACAAUGGGUGGAAGACCGUGUUACUGCCUUCGAAAGAAGGGGUGAAUCACGAAUUCUUACCCGUGAAUGGGAUAGUUUGUUGCAAUUUUCGGACUUGAACUAGGAAUCCCUUGUAAACAUGCUCAAGAAUAGCGUGUUGAAUACGUCCCUGCCGUUUGUACACACCGCCCGUCGUUUCUUCCGACUGAUACUCAUUGUGAGUUGCAAGGACCCUUUAUUGGGAAAUUGCUGCAAAUGCUUUGUAUUGGAGGAAGAAAAAGUCGUAACA